RNAcentral lists this ribosomal RNA (790 nucleotides) under uncultured bacterium. Its description in RNAcentral is "bacterial SSU rRNA". It matches the Rfam family "Bacterial small subunit ribosomal RNA", at positions 8 to 796 of the family's 1533-position model. The record is from RNAcentral.
AGAGUUUGAUCCUGGCUCAGAGCGAACGUUAGCGGCAUGCCUUACACAUGCAAGUCGAACGCGAAAGGGGGCAACCCCGAGUAGAGUGGCGAACGGGUGAGCAAUACAUCGGAACGUGUCCUGUAGCGGGGGACAACCUCGAGAAAUCGAGGCUAAUACCGCAUACGAUCUACGGAUGAAAGUGGGGGACCGCAAGGCCCCACACUAUAGGAGCGGCCGAUGCCGGAUUAGCUAGUUGGUGGGGUAAAAGCCUACCAAGGCGACGAUCCGUAGCUGGUUUGAGAGAACGACCAGCCACACUGGGACUGAGACACGGCCCAGACUCCUACGGGAGGCAGCAGUGGGGAAUUUUGGACAAUGGGCGAAAGCCUGAUCCAGCCAUGCCGCGUGAGUGAAGAAGGCCUUCGGGUUGUAAAGCUCUUUCGGCGGGGACGAAAUUGCGCGGGGUAACAUCCCGCGUAGAUGACGGUACCCGAAGAAGAAGGACCGGCUAACUACGUGCCAGCAGCCGCGGUAAUACGUAGGGUCCAAGCGUUAAUCGGAAUUACUGGGCGUAAAGCGUGUGCAGGCGGUUUCGAAAGUCCGAUGUGAAAUCCCCGAGCUUAACUUGGGAACUGCGUUGGAAACUACGAGGCUAGAGUGCGGCAGAGGGGGGUGGAAUUCCAGGUGUAGCAGUGAAAUGCGUAGAGAUCUGGAGGAACACCGAUGGCGAAGGCAGCCCCCUGGGUUAGCACUGACGCUGAGACACGAAAGCGUGGGGAGCAAACAGGAUUAGAUACCCUAGUAGUCC